Molecule: ribosomal RNA, 89 nt
Filed under: Vibrio parahaemolyticus
Lineage: Bacteria; Pseudomonadati; Pseudomonadota; Gammaproteobacteria; Vibrionales; Vibrionaceae
Description: partial 16S ribosomal RNA
Rfam family: Bacterial small subunit ribosomal RNA
Source: RNAcentral
AAAUUGAAGAGUUUGAUCAUGGCUCAGAUUGAACGCUGGCGGCAGGCCUAACACAUGCAAGUCGAGCGGUAACAUUUCAAAAGCUUGCU